RNAcentral lists this long non-coding RNA (925 nucleotides) under Rattus norvegicus (Norway rat). RNAcentral describes it as "long non-coding RNA NONRATT002643". The record is from RNAcentral. Lineage: Eukaryota; Metazoa; Chordata; Mammalia; Rodentia; Muridae.
GGGAGUCACGUGACCGGGGCGCGCCGCAGCCGCCGGGGCGCACCCGGCGAGAGGCAGCGGCAGUGAUGGACGGGUCCGGGGAUCAUCUCGGAGGCGGCGGUGAGGCGGGAGGCGGAGAACUAGGCCGGGUCCAAGGACCCCAGGACCCCUCCGGCUGUGGGCUCGGGCGGGGGCUGGCUGGGGCGCGCGGAUCCAUUCCGACCGGCGCAUCCGCACCCUGUGAGCGGACAUCCGCGUGCGCGCCCCCGGGCAGGCCCGGGCUUGUCGCUGGCGCCACUUCCUGCUGGUGGCCUGGGAUGGAUCGGAAGGCCAGCGCCAUCCCCCCAGCUGGGGGUCUGUUUGCUUUAGGGAUUCCGCAGUCUGGGUUAGCAGAGGAGCUGGGAUGCAGGUUGGGUCCCGCCCCCUGUCCAUCAGAAGCAGUAGCCCUACUUGUCACUACUAGGGUCCCCAGCUCUGUCUCCCCUCAGGGUUAUGAGCCUACUCAGCCCCCUGACUCUCCCUGGGACCCAGGAGUCCAGGCACCCCUUUCCUCCUCUCUCCACCAGGGCCCACCAGCUCUGAACAGAUCAUGAAGACAGGGGCCUUUUUGCUACAGGGGUGAGUGUGAGGCCCUAUUGUGGUGGGAUGGGCUUCAGGAACAACACUUGGUUCUCACUUUGUGCUCCUAUCCCCGUGUCCAUUCACAUCUAGUUUCAUCCAGGAUCGAGCAGAGAGGAUGGCUGGGGAGACACCUGAGCUGACCUUGGAGCAGCCGCCCCAGGACGCAUCCACCAAGAAGCUGAGCGAGUGUCUCAGGCGAAUUGGCGAUGAACUGGACAACAACAUGGAGCUGCAGAGGAUGAUUGCUGAUGUGGAUACAGACUCCCCCCGAGAGGUCUUCUUCCGUGUGGCAGCUGACAUGUUUGCAGACGGCAACUUCAACUGG